This 336-nucleotide unclassified non-coding RNA is filed under the name soil metagenome. Its description in RNAcentral is "partial contains 5.8S ribosomal RNA, internal transcribed spacer 2, and large subunit ribosomal RNA". The stretch from base 1 to 120 matches the Rfam family "5.8S ribosomal RNA", at positions 35 to 154 of the family's 154-position model. The record is from RNAcentral.
GAUGAAGAACGUAGCGAAAUGCGAUAACUAGUGUGAAUUGCAGAUUUCAGUGAAUCAUCGAGUCUUUGAACGCACAUUGCGCCCGCCAGUAUUCUGGCGGGCAUGCCUGUUCGAGCGUCAUUUCAACCAUCAAGCCCCAGGCUUGUGUUGGGGACCUGCGGCUGCCGCAGGCCCUGAAAACCAGUGGCGGGCUCGCUGUCACACCGGGCGUAGUAGAUUUUAUCUCGCUCAGGGCGUGCUGCGGGUUCCGGCCGUUAAAAAGCCUUUUUUACCCAAGGUUGACCUCGGAUCAGGUAGGAAGACCCGCUGAACUUAAGCAUAUCAAUAAGCGGAGGA